Molecule: ribosomal RNA, 792 nt
Filed under: uncultured bacterium
Lineage: Bacteria
Description: bacterial SSU rRNA
Rfam family: Bacterial small subunit ribosomal RNA
Source: RNAcentral
CCCUUAGAGUUUGAUCCUGGCUCAGAAUGAACGUUGGCGGCGUGGAUUAGGCAUGCAAGUCGAACGGGCCGCAAGGCCAGUGGCGCAAGGGUGAGUAAGGCGACGGUAACCAACCCCGCGAUUGGGUAUAGCCGCGGGAAACCGCGGGUAAUCCCCAGCGACGCAACGGCACCGGCAUCGGUGCCUUGCCAAAGCCCCGGCGUCGCGGGACGGGCUGUCGUGGUAUUAGCUUGUUGGCGGGGUAACGGCCCACCAAGGCGGCGAUGCCUACCGGGCGUGCGAGCGCGACCCGGCACACUGGGACUGAGACACUGCCCAGACUCCUACGGGAGGCUGCAGUCGAGAAUCUUCGGCAAUGGGCGCAAGCCUGACCGAGCGACGCCGCGUGGAGGACGAAGGCCUUCGGGUUGUAAACUCCUGUCGAGGGGGAAGAAGGCCCCGAAAGGGGCUUGACUGAUCCCUGGAGGAAGCACGGGCUAAGUUCGUGCCAGCAGCCGCGGUAAGACGAACCGUGCGAACGUUAUUCGGAAUCACUGGGCUUAAAGCGCGUGUAGGCGGAUGGGCACGUCGGUCGCUGAAAUCCCCCGGCUCAACCGGGGAACGGGCGCCGAUACGGCUCGUCUGGAGGGGCGUAGGGGGACCUGGAACUUCCGGUGGAGCGGUGAAAUGCGUUGAGAUCGGAAAGAACGCCCGUGGCGAAAGCGAGGUCCUGGACGCCUACUGACGCUGAGACGCGAAGCCAGGGGAGCGAACGGGAUUAGAUACCCCGGUAGUCCUGGCCGUAACGAUGGC